This 120-nucleotide ribosomal RNA is filed under the name Peromyscus maniculatus bairdii (prairie deer mouse). Lineage: Eukaryota; Metazoa; Chordata; Mammalia; Rodentia; Cricetidae. The record is from RNAcentral.
GUUUACAGUCAUGCCACCUUAAUUCAUCUGGUCUCCUCUGAUCUUGGAAGUUAAGCAGGGUCAGGCCUGGUUGUUAUUUGAAUGAGAGAGUGGAAAGGAUUGAGGAGGACACUCUGUGUC